This is a long non-coding RNA of Xenia sp. Carnegie-2017, 132 nucleotides long. RefSeq lists it as uncharacterized. Lineage: Eukaryota; Metazoa; Cnidaria; Anthozoa; Malacalcyonacea; Xeniidae. The record is from RefSeq and is a predicted model, not a curated record. The transcript has 2 exons.
AGACGAGGAGGAUGCAGAAGAAGAGACAAGGAGGAUGAUGAAGAGACGAGGAGGAUGCAGAUGCAAAGAAGAGGAGGAUGCAAAUGGAAAGACGAGGAGGAUGCAGAUAGAAAGACAAGAAAGAUGCAGAUG